GCCCGAGUGGUGAAAUGGUAGACGCGUUGGACUCAAAAUCCAAUAUGUGAUGAGCAUGUACCGGUUCGAGUCCGGUCUCGGGCACCA
This 87-nucleotide transfer RNA is filed under the name Bacilli bacterium. RNAcentral describes it as "tRNA-Leu". It matches the Rfam family "tRNA". Rfam says of the family: Transfer RNA (tRNA) molecules are approximately 80 nucleotides in length. Lineage: Bacteria; Bacillati; Bacillota; Bacilli. The record is from RNAcentral. RNAcentral also lists the same sequence under 1 other name.